CGGCGGACGGGUGAGUAACGCGUGGGUAACCUGCCUCAUACAGGGGAUAACAGUUGGAAACGGCUGCUAAUACCGCAUAAGCGCACAGUACCGCAUGGUACCGUGUGAAAAACUCCGGUGGUAUGAGAUGGACCCGCGUCUGAUUAGCUAGUUGGUGGGGUAACGGCCUACCAAGGCGACGAUCAGUAGCCGACCUGAGAGGGUGACCGGCUACAUUGGGACUGAGACACGGCCCAA
RNAcentral lists this ribosomal RNA (237 nucleotides) under uncultured bacterium. RNAcentral describes it as "partial 16S ribosomal RNA". It matches the Rfam family "Bacterial small subunit ribosomal RNA", at positions 96 to 334 of the family's 1533-position model. The record is from RNAcentral.